This is a long non-coding RNA of Capsicum annuum, 615 nucleotides long. RefSeq lists it as uncharacterized. The record is from RefSeq and is a predicted model, not a curated record. Lineage: Eukaryota; Viridiplantae; Streptophyta; Magnoliopsida; Solanales; Solanaceae. The transcript has 2 exons.
AAAAAAAGGUAAGGCCGAAGGCCCAUGAAAUUUCUACAUAAUCUGAAAAAUGUCGUGGUAAAGCCCUCUUUCUAAAUUCUACCCCAACUAUAUAAAUGUAAUUAGUCUUGAUCUUUGUCCUUCUCUUCCAUACUUUCCCUAUUUAUUUGCUUCGCCAUAUUCCUUUUCUGUUGCUGCUUGAACUCCCAGUUCUUUCUUCUUUGAUUUUGGGUGAUUAAUGACUUUCCCGAUGAGAUGGUGAUGAUCUUCCUCACAAAAGUGUUGCCAAAACACCAAGGUGGUUGGGUUGUUUCUGAGGGGAAGUUGAAGGAGGAAACGUCCGGAGUUCACAGCUCUUCAACAAGUAUCUUAUGUUCUCUUUCUGUUUUUUCCAUUCUACAUGGUCGAUUUUAACACCAUUUUGUGUUCUUCUAGAUGAGUACUGGAGUUGUCUUUUCCAUUGCCAAUCUGUGCUUGUGGUUGACCUACAAUGCUGACAGAAUGAUAUGACGCAGUUUUACUUUAUUUUUGGUGAUAAAUUUUAUGAGCUAACAUAGUUUAGCCUAUCUGAUUUAACAGCUAUAAUAUUCCAUGUAUAGGAAACUGAUCUAUUAUAAAUUUUGUUAUUGCUCAGAA